Molecule: small nucleolar RNA, 81 nt
Organism: Cornus florida
Lineage: Eukaryota; Viridiplantae; Streptophyta; Magnoliopsida; Cornales; Cornaceae
Source: RefSeq, a predicted model, not a curated record
CACUGUGAUUAAAAACUGGGGAGGCGGCACCAGAUUGAGCAGAGAAAGAUGUAGCAAAAGAUCGCCCAGUGCUGUCAGGAA